GACGGUACCUGCAGAAAACGCACCGGCUAACUAUGUGCCACCAGCCGCGGUAAUACAUAGGGUGCAAGCGUUGUCCGGAAUUAUUGGGCGUAAAGAGCUCGUAGGUGGUUUGUCGCGUCGGAUGUGAAAAUCCGGGGCUCAACCCCGGACCUGCAUUCGAUACGGGCAAACUUGAGUGUGGUAGGGGAGACUGGAAUUCCUGGUGUAGCGGUGGAAUGCGCAGAUAUCAGGAGGAACACCAAUGGCGAAGGCAGGUCUCUGGGCCAUUACUGACACUGAGGAGCGAAAGCGUGGGGAGCGAACAGGAUUAGAUACCCUGGUAGUCCACGCCGUAAACGGUGGGCGCUAGGUGUGGACACCAUUCCACGCUCUGCGACGCAAGCUAAACGCAUUAAGCGCCCCCGCCUGGGGAGUACGAUCGCAAGAUUAAAACUC
RNAcentral lists this ribosomal RNA (435 nucleotides) under uncultured bacterium. RNAcentral describes it as "bacterial SSU rRNA". It matches the Rfam family "Bacterial small subunit ribosomal RNA", at positions 471 to 902 of the family's 1533-position model. The record is from RNAcentral.